CCAGUGCGGGCCGUAGGGCGCGAAGGCGAAGCCGGCCGAGUCGUAGGCGAGGUGCCGCGUGACCGCCGUGAGCGGGCGCUCCGGGAUGCUGCCCUCGAACUUGAGGACGUCGCGGGCGACGUCGGCGGAGCCGAUGACGACACAGUGGGUGGAGGGGCCGAGGCGGAGGUACACGAGCGGGCCGUAGCGGUUGAUGAUGCGGUCGAACGCGCGGUGGGGGGGCGGGCGGAUGAGGUGGAGGUGGCCGAUGAAGGGGAGCGCCAUGGGGCCCGGGGGGAGGCGGCCGUGCUUGCCGCCAUGUCUGACCAGCGUGAGGAGGAAGAAGGCCACGGCGGCGAGGAGCGAGGCCACAAGCAGUGGCGCUGCACUGUCCGAGACCACUCCGAAUUGCUCCAUGAUGCCUCCUCUUCUGACUUUUUCCUCUUCUG
RNAcentral lists this long non-coding RNA (428 nucleotides) under Hordeum vulgare. Its description in RNAcentral is "long non-coding RNA (HVUL_LNC019749)". Lineage: Eukaryota; Viridiplantae; Streptophyta; Magnoliopsida; Poales; Poaceae. The record is from RNAcentral.